Molecule: long non-coding RNA, 1580 nt
Organism: Oryctolagus cuniculus (rabbit)
Lineage: Eukaryota; Metazoa; Chordata; Mammalia; Lagomorpha; Leporidae
Source: RefSeq, a predicted model, not a curated record
UGCGUGCGCUUGCUUUCCGACAAAACGAGACUCGAGUUCUGGGUCAGGCCAUUGUGCAGCUGAAACACUGGCAGGUGGCCAGCCUGAGAAGUCAAAGAACUUUCUCAGCUCUCUGGACGUCUCACAAAAGGAAUCUUUGUUAACGACCUUGAUAGAAGAUAAAGGUCAUUGCUAAUCCCAGCUGCGCGCUCAGGGAGAGCUGGGAAACAGGAGUUGGAACACAAAUCGUGCUUACUGCCUUAAGCCAAAACUCUGCUGGAAAAGCAACACAGAACCUGGCACCAGCAAGCUGAUGUUCUGAAAACCAGCCUCUCUCCAGCGAGAGGAGGGCGAGCCGGCAGAGGAAGAUCAGGAAUGCCGGCUCAGAGCAGGUGAAAUGCUACGAGUGGGCACCCCGGGAGUGGAGGGCGCCGACACGCAGAGCCUGGGACACUGGCGGAAUUCGUGGGCCCGUCCACGUCGGGCGCUCCCUGGCCAGUCCGCGGUAACCGAAGCAGCCAGCGGUUGCACGUGAGAGUGAAGGCUCUACCCGCCGAGAGGACGGCAGAUCCCUAACAGCAGCACAAGCGGCCGCGGCCGGCUUGCCACGUCCGACCCUCUGGGCCGCGAAAGUCCUCGGGAAACCGCGGCUCCGCACCGAGCGAACGCGGGCUGCUCGUCCCUGUCCUGAGCCUGCAACCCAGCGACGCUCUGGGCGGUCCCGGUGCUGCCUCGGGCGCCGUGCGCGACCCGCAGGCACGCGGAGGGCGCGCGUGCAGAGACGGCGCCCAGGGUCGGCUGCAGGUGACCCGCCGUCCACCCUCCCACGGUCUGCGGCCGGCUCUGCGCGUGCGCGGCGGCCACGUCCAGCCAGCCGAAGCGGCGUCCCACAGCGCCGCCUGCUGGUCGGAGGGAAGGCGACACCGAGGGCCCCGGCUCCCGGAAGUGCUCUCGAGGCUGCGCGGCGCGUCUCUGAGCACUGGCUCCGCGUCUAAGCCGGCUCCUUCAACGUGACGUUACACCCGAAAGCCUCAGACUAAACACGACGCUUAACAAAGCACCCGCUUCCCGGGCCCGCCGCGCGUCCAGGCGGUUAUCGCGCGCGCACGCCCCGUCAGAGCGACCGAGCAACGGCUGAGCGCGCGGCCCCGCCCCCGCGCGAUGCCCGGAUGCAGUUCCCGGCCCCUGGCCGCGCUGGCGCCGCCCCCGCGCGGUGCCCGGAUGCCGCUCCCGGCCCCUGGCCGCGCUGGCGCCGCCCCCGCGCGGUGCCCGGAUGCAGUUCCCGGCCCCUGGCCGCGCUGGCGCCGCCCCCGCGCGGUGCCCGGAUGCAGUUCCCGGCCCCUGGCCGCGCUGGCGCCGCCCCCGCGCGGUGCCCGGAUGCCGCUCCCGGGCCCUGGCGGUGCGGGUGCCCGGAUGCCGCUCCCGGCCCCGUCCGCUCUGGGCAGCGCGGGGGUGGACGUUGCGGGCGGAGCCGGCCGGUGGGCGCUGUGUCCUCUGUGUCUCCUGGAUACAUUUUUGCAGAAUGUACAGCUCACAGCCUGUGUAUAGGGCCCUUGAUGAUUUAUAAAGACCCUAAUAAAACUUCGCAUACUCGUCUCCGA